Molecule: long non-coding RNA, 333 nt
Organism: Vespa crabro (European hornet)
Lineage: Eukaryota; Metazoa; Arthropoda; Insecta; Hymenoptera; Vespidae
Exons: 2
Source: RefSeq, a predicted model, not a curated record
AUUGAUCCACCUAAAAUAAAUUAUACGUAACUUAUAAUUGAUAUUUUUCCUAUGUACCUAGAUUCCCAUCAUUGUCACGCUCGUAAUAUUUUAUGGCUACCUCAAGGCUAUCGUACAAUGGAUUUCCAACAAAGGAUAAAUCUCGGAUAUUUGAAAUCCAAAGUUCCUCUAAAGUAUCACCAAGUGAUUCAAGACCUGAAAAGCUUUUCACCACGUUACGACUCAACGACAAGAUCUUUAAGUUUUUCAAUGUUCCAAUUCCUACAAAAUAAUCCAAUUUAUUUUGUAUAUAUAUAUAUAUAUUUUAUAAAUAUAUAUAUAUAUAUUUAUAAA